AGAAAACUCAUGAUUCAUUUCCAAGGAUUGUUUUAUACAUCACGAUGAGAAAAAUGAUUUGGUUUCCUUUUGAUUUCUGGUUUAAGCUAUCCAUCCACAACAUCACUUAUCCUGUCUCUACUCUUAAUGUCCCGCUAGCAAAGCACUGAGUGUGGGUUGCUCAGCACCUUAUAAAAGCAGGGUAUGCUUACAUUUCAUGAAGCAGAGGUCCUUAUUCUUAGGAGUGAAUUAAAUUGUUCUUCAAAUGUAUCACUUAUUGUCUAAACUAUCAUGAUGUCAGUGUAAAAUGCAGGAACAGAUCAUUUCUGUUAGCAUUUUUUUAUUGCUGAGUUUUAGUUGUGAUUUUUCUGCAUAAGUAUUAUGAAGCUGAAUUUCACUUCUCUGUUUCUCAUAUUUUUAUUAGACACAGAAAGGAAAGACAACUUGCUACUGUAGACAGGAAUCUGUCAUGACAACACAGGGUUAUAUUCCUAACUCCGUUCUCCACUGCUUUUGGUUAGUGAAAGACAGUGGAGGAAAUUGAGGUAAAAUGCACUCUGGAUAAUUCCUCAGGAGAUUACUAAUAAGAUACAGCAGCUUCCAGCCAAGUUCACCAGAUCAGGGUGCGCCCAGGAACCACACAUCGUUACCAACUGACAGCUAUUCAAUAGAUCAUCUGAAAUAAGCUUGUGGUCUCAGGUGUCCAAACUCAGGAAAAAAAAAUAAAACACCUCAUUAGAAUUGGAAUUAAUUUACACCUUUUGCCAUUUCAGCAGUGACCAGCCUGCAGAGAAGGCAAUACCACUGCAUUCCCCACGGAACUGAAAAGUGUUGAAAUUACCUUUUUUUUUUAAGCUAAGUGGAAUGCAUGAAAAUCACCCUUGCCCUCACAGUUGGAGAUUUCAGCAAGUUGUUGGGUGUGUGCACUUCAUCCUCGGGAUGGAACUCAUCCCUGAAUGUCAGCAAAGUCGCCAGAGGUAUCAGCUCUGUCUGAAGUUCUCACUGCACCAUCCUGAUCCAUUGGCUCAGCCUUGUGUUAUUGAUGGUGAGAUCAGGGCUGGGCAGCAUCUCAAUACCUUUGGGUCAACUUGAGGGCGCUCUCUGUUUUUUUGCAGGUACAAGUUAUUUCCUUCUCUGCUGCUCCAGUUUCCCUGUUUGAAACAUCAGCUCGUUCUCCUGAAGGUGAAGGCUGCAGCAUUUUUUUUUCCUCUUGAGCCAUCAGCUGAUCUUUCCACCCACGUCACCUUAUUGAAGUGUUGGGGAUCUGGGGGCAUUCAGCAUCAGCUGUGCAUCCCGAAGAUUGCUGGCUUCUUCCCAAAGAGCUGAAAUCUCAUUCUUCUCUCUGCUUUAAUGAAGCUUGCGGAUGCCCCUUUCUCUCAUUUGGUAAUCAGCUGAAGUUCCUGGAAAAGGAGUGGGAGAUGAGUGGAAGGGUCAGAGGCAGCAGAAAGCUGUGAACUGGGCAACUCGGUGCUGAAAUAGGUGAAGGUAAAGGGUGAACCAACCUUUCCGCAUUUCCCUGACAAAAAGCUUGAAAGUGCAACCUUAAAAGAGGUUUCCGAAAGCUCAGAGGGAUGGGGAGAAACACUGGAAAGGAAAUCUCAUAGUGAUGGAGCCUCACUGUGGCAUUUUGAUGCUCUCUGGAGGGAAAUACGGGCAUUUUGCUUCUCCCACCUUUGAGCUGAAGUGGCACACUAGCUGAAGUCCUUCACUCUUUCCUGUUUGAAAGGGCUUCAUUUCUGAUAAAGGUUCGGUGUUACAAAGAGAUACCAAAUCUUCAUGUGUCUUGUGCUUCAGCAAAGCACCGAUAACAGCAAUAAACGCCCUAACGUGAGAUGUUCUGGGGUUAUCUCUGAGGAAGGCUGCUCUUCAUGAGGCUGCCAAUUGCAAAUGAACUUAGUUAUAAAAUUCCUCUUUAUUGCCACCUUUCCAUAUCCCUGAGGUUAAUUCUGAAAUAUGCAUGAAAUGUAAUUAGUGCAGAUCCAUUUCUGCCAGCACGUUUUACACAAGUGGCUCCCAGUGGCAGAUCUGGAUGUAUUCAUAAUAAAAUGAUUCAGUUAAAUGUAAUACCACUUGGUAUGCAGCAUGAGUGUUGUUUGUCUUCACAGCACUUUAAUGAUGCACUGCAGUCUUUGGUAUCGAGGCACUACCUGCAUCUCAAUGAAGAGCUGUGGUUGCUGUACAGGGGAACGCCUAUGAUAACGUUUUCUUGAGCUCAGCCCAAACAGCAUCCUUUAUCUAUUGCUUGAGAUGCAAACUGUAGAGCAUAUUGUGUCCUGGUAGGGGCUAUCAUGACUUCGGUCAUCACUUCAUUUGCUGCAAGUGGAUGUUUAUAGUGGGGCGUCAGUGUGACAAUCUGAUUAAAAAAGGAAAAUAGAAAGGAAGGAGAAAAAAUCAGGGCAUCCAGUGAUCUAAUGCUCAUGCUGGGUUAAAGAAACCAGUGUUUCUUAAACAUCUCACUUACAGCUUGAAGAGUAUUUUAAACUCGUUCUGAGAAGUUACUUGUCUGUUUCACAGAAUCACAGAA
Numida meleagris (helmeted guineafowl) is the source of this 2503-nucleotide long non-coding RNA. RefSeq lists it as uncharacterized. The record is from RefSeq and is a predicted model, not a curated record. The transcript has 3 exons. Lineage: Eukaryota; Metazoa; Chordata; Aves; Galliformes; Numididae.